AGCAAGCAGAUAACCAGGGAGUUUAAACAAACGGUGGUGGCCAGCAACCCUCACCAGAUGUGCCACAUGGCUAAGGACAUUGGGAGAACACAAGAGCCUCAAUACCCAGAAGACUGAUCACAUGAACACCCUUGGGAAGGACCUGGAUAUCAGAUGCUGUAAGCUGACAGUCAACUGAAACAAAGGAGAACACAUUCGACCUCAGCCAGAUCACAGCUACAUGGGGCAUGCCAUGCUUUUUCAAGUACAGUGGAAAGGAAGUUUGCUUCAGCCAGAGAGAAGCAACUCUAUUUUCCUAAGUGGAAGUUAAGGUUUGAUCAAUGCCUGCAGGUUACAGCCAGCUGCCCAGCCUUUAUGUGAGUGCCUUGGAUCUAAACUAUGGUCCUUAUUCUUGCACAGCCAGUGAUUUGCCGACUGAGCCAUCGCCUCAACCCCAAAGAAAAAAUCCCACAGAACUCUAAAAGUGUCUAAGGAGGCCAGAAGAGGUUUAUGGAUUCCCUCUGCCUGGGAUUGCCUGAAGUGGGUGCCAGGAACUGAACUUCCACCUCUGCAAAAGAAGCAAAUGCUCUCAGCUGCUGAGCCAUCUCUCCAUUCCCUGAACAGAAUUCUUCAUAACUGUAAAGGCAUAAAAAGACAUUGACUAUUGCUUGUCUGCAUAAAGAAAAAUUACUGCUUCCAGUCUGUCUGGGCUGGUGUCCUGAGCAGACCUUGGGCGCAAGCUCCAUAG
Molecule: long non-coding RNA, 727 nt
Organism: Mastomys coucha (southern multimammate mouse)
Lineage: Eukaryota; Metazoa; Chordata; Mammalia; Rodentia; Muridae
Exons: 4
Source: RefSeq, a predicted model, not a curated record